This 841-nucleotide ribosomal RNA is filed under the name uncultured bacterium. Its description in RNAcentral is "bacterial SSU rRNA". It matches the Rfam family "Bacterial small subunit ribosomal RNA", at positions 26 to 898 of the family's 1533-position model. The record is from RNAcentral.
AGAAUCAACGCUGGCGGCGUGCCUAACACAUGCAAGUCGAACGAGAAAGGGUAGCAAUACCUGAGUACAGUGGCGCACGGGUGAGUAACACGUGACUAACCUACCCUUGAGUGGGGGAUAACUGGGAGAAAUCCUAGCUAAUACCGCAUAAUACCUACGGGUCAAAGGAGCAAUUCGCUUAAGGAGGGGGUCGCGGUCGAUUAGUUAGUUGGCGGGGUAAUGGCCCACCAAGACUAUGAUCGAUAUCCGGCCUGAGAGGGCGCACGGACACACUGGAACUGAAACACGGUCCAGACUCCUACGGGAGGCAGCAGUGGGGAAUUUUGCGCAAUGGGGGAAACCCUGACGCAGCAACGCCGCGUGGAGGAUGAAGUCCUUCGGGACGUAAACUCCUUUCGAUCGGGAAGAUAAUGACGGUACCGGAAGAAGAAGCCCCGGCUAACUUCGUGCCAGCAGCCGCGGUAAUACGAGGGGGGCGAGCGUUGUUCGGAAUUAUUGGGCGUAAAGGGUGCGUAGGCGGUUUGGUAAGUCUUGUGUGAAAUCUAUGGGCUCAACUCAUAGUCUGCACGAGAAACUGCCGGGCUUGAGUAUGGGAGAGGUGAGUGGAAUUUCCGGUGUAGCGGUGAAAUGCGUAGAUAUCGGAAGGAACACCUGUGGCGAAAGCGGCUCACUGGACCAUAACUGACGCUGAUGCACGAAAGCUAGGGGAGCAAACAGGAUUAGAUACCCUGGUAGUCCUAGCCCUAAACGAUGACUGCUUGGUGUGACGGGUACCCAAUCCCGCCGUGCCGUAGCUAACGCGUUAAGCAGUCCGCCUGGGGAGUACGGUCGCAAGGCUGAA